GGCGUUGGUCGCCGGGAGGCCGCCGCUGCUGCUGCUGGCGGUCAUGGUCGCGCCGACGGCCAGGUUGGUGUUCGGGUCGGCGCCGGUGCCG
RNAcentral lists this transfer RNA (91 nucleotides) under Catellatospora sp. TT07R-123. RNAcentral describes it as "tRNA-Ser". The record is from RNAcentral. Lineage: Bacteria; Bacillati; Actinomycetota; Actinomycetes; Micromonosporales; Micromonosporaceae.